This 465-nucleotide ribosomal RNA is filed under the name uncultured Klebsiella sp. Its description in RNAcentral is "bacterial SSU rRNA". It matches the Rfam family "Bacterial small subunit ribosomal RNA", at positions 338 to 795 of the family's 1533-position model. The record is from RNAcentral. Lineage: Bacteria; Pseudomonadati; Pseudomonadota; Gammaproteobacteria; Enterobacterales; Enterobacteriaceae.
CCUACGGGCGGCUGCAGUGGGGAAUACUGCACAAUGGGCGCAAGCCUGAUGCAGCCAUGCCGCGUGUGUGAAGAAGGCCUUCGGGUUGUAAAGCACUUUCAGCGGGGAGGAAGGCGGUGAGGUUAAUAACCUCAUCGAUUGACGUUACCCGCAGAAGAAGCACCGGCUAACUCCGUGCCAGCAGCCGCGGUAAUACGGAGGGUGCAAGCGUUAAUCGGAAUUACUGGGCGUAAAGCGCACGCAGGCGGUCUGUCAAGUCGGAUGUGAAAUCCCCGGGCUCAACCUGGGAACUGCAUUCGAAACUGGCAGGCUAGAGUCUUGUAGAGGGGGGUAGAAUUCCAGGUGUAGCGGUGAAAAGCGUAGAGAUCUGGAGGAAUACCGGUGGCGAAGGCGGCCCCCUGGACAAAGACUGACGCUCAGGUGCGAAAGCGUGGGGAGCAAACAGGAUUAGAUACCCCGGUAGUC